GGCUUGUGUAAAGCAUUGGAUCAUUCUCGGGUUUGACUGCACCAUUCCAUGCAGUGCUCUCAGGACUGGUAGAAAACAUUUGGGAGCCACCAAACCGCAGAUAUCUAGUACCUUGGCGAUUGGACAACAACCUUGCAGAAUUUACAGACAGAGAAUCAGGUUGAGGCUUCCUUCGACGCCGGUUAUGUCCAUCAAGACGUUUCCUGCAGCUUCGCUUUCCCUCGUCAAACUCCACCAAAGAAUGGAACCUG
This 251-nucleotide unclassified non-coding RNA is filed under the name Hevea brasiliensis (rubber tree). The record is from RNAcentral. Lineage: Eukaryota; Viridiplantae; Streptophyta; Magnoliopsida; Malpighiales; Euphorbiaceae.